Molecule: ribosomal RNA, 1218 nt
Filed under: uncultured candidate division WWE3 bacterium
Lineage: Bacteria; candidate division WWE3
Description: bacterial SSU rRNA
Rfam family: Bacterial small subunit ribosomal RNA
Source: RNAcentral
GCGGCGUGCUUAAGGUAUGCAAGUCAAACCCAGCUUUUAGCAGGGUGGCGAACGGCUGAGUAAUACGUAGGAACCUACCUCUAAGUAAGGUAUAACCCUCCGAAAGGUGGGAUAAUCCCUUAUGUGGUGGCAACACUAAAGAUUUAUCGCUUAGAAAUGGGCCUGCGGCCCAUCAGGUAGUUGGUUGGGUAACGGCCUACCAAGCCUAUGACGGGUAGCUGGUAUCAGAGUAUGACCAGCCAGAGGGGCACUGAGAUACGGGCCUCACCCCUACGGGGGGCAGCAAUCGGGAAUUUGCGCAAUGGACGAAAGUCUGACGCAGCGACGCCGCGUGAAGGAUGACGGCCUUCGGGUUGUAAACUUCGUUGUAAGCACCGGCUAACUACGUGCCAGCAGCAGCGGUCAUACGUAGGGUGCAAGCAUUAUCCGGUUUUAUUGGGCGUAAAGAGUUCUGUAGGCGGUUGAAUAAGUUGGAAGUUAAAUAUCCUGGCUCAACUAGGACAAGGCUUUCAAUACUAUUUGGCUAUGAGGUGACUAGGGGGUAGCGGAACGCAUGGUGUAGCAGUGAAAUGCGUUGAUAUCAUGCGGAACACCAAGGGGGAAGCCAGCUACCUGGGGUUAUCCUGACGCUGAGAGACGAAAGCGUGGGGAGCGAAACGGAUUAGAUACCCGUGUAGUCCACGCUGUAAACUAUGCCUGCUAGAUGCUCCGCUUUUGUGGAGUGUCGAAGCUAACGCGUUAAGCAGGCCGCCUGGGAAGUACGAUCGCAAGAUUAAAACUCAAAGGAAUUGGCGGGGACCCGCACAAGCGGUGGAGCAUGCUCUUUAAUUGGCUGAUAACCCAAAAACCUCACCAGGGCUUGACAUGCAUAAAGUAGUGAACCGAAAGGGGAACGACCGGUAUCCAGUCCGGAGUUUGCACAGGUGUUGCGUGGCUGUCGUCAGUUCGUACCGUGAGGCGUACCCUUAAGUGGGUUAACGAACGCAACCCCUACUAUCAGUUGUAUCACUCUGAUGGAACUGCCUCGGCAACGAGGAGGAAGGUGGGGACGACGUCAAGUCGGUAUUGCUCUUACGCUCUGGGCUAGAAGCAUGCUACAAUGGGGUCGACAACGCGAAGCAAAGAGGCAACUCGGAGCAAAUCGCUAAACGAUCUCUCAGUUCGGAUUGGAGUCUGCAACUCGACUCCAUGAAGUUGGAAUCGCUAGUAAUCGGCGGU